Molecule: ribosomal RNA, 397 nt
Filed under: uncultured bacterium
Lineage: Bacteria
Description: partial 16S ribosomal RNA
Rfam family: Bacterial small subunit ribosomal RNA
Source: RNAcentral
CUACGUAGGGGGCGAGCGUUGUCCGGAAUGAUUGGGCGUAAAGGGCGCGUAGGCGGCCCGGUAAGUCUGGAGUGAAAGUCCUGUUUUUAAGAUGGGAAUUGCUUUGGAUACUGUCGGGCUUGAGUGCAGGAGAGGUAAGUGGAAUUCCCAGUGUAGCGGUGAAAUGCGUAGAGAUUGGGAGGAACACCAGUGGCGAAGGCGACUUACUGGACUGUAACUGACGCUGAGGCGCGAAAGUGUGGGGAGCAAACAGGAUUAGAUACCCUGGUAGUCCACACUGUAAACGAUGAAUGCUAGGUGUAGGGGGUAUUGACCCCUUCUGUGCCGCAGUCAACACAAUAAGCAUUCCGCCUGGGGAGUACGGCCGCAAGGUUGAAACUCAAAUGAAUUGGCGGGG